Molecule: RNase P RNA, 411 nt
Filed under: Ammoniphilus oxalaticus
Lineage: Bacteria; Bacillati; Bacillota; Bacilli; Caryophanales; Paenibacillaceae
Description: Bacterial RNase P class B
Rfam family: Bacterial RNase P class B
About the family: Ribonuclease P (RNase P) is a ubiquitous endoribonuclease, found in archaea, bacteria and eukarya as well as chloroplasts and mitochondria. Its best characterised activity is the generation of mature 5'-ends of tRNAs by cleaving the 5'-leader elements of precursor-tRNAs.
Source: Rfam by way of RNAcentral
AAUAGCGCGUAGUCGCGGCUUAUCAUUUGUCUGAUGAUAAGUUGAGGAAAGUCCAGGCUCGCCUAGCGCUGAGAUGCCUAGCGUGUUCGCGCCAUCCGCAAGGGUGGGCAGUCGAUCGGUUCGGCUGACGGCGGUGAAAUCAGGCUAAGUCCCCUUUUUUCAAAAAGAGGAUAUGCUGAGAGUAACCUGAAAGUGCCACAGAGACGAUACGCGAUUCGAAAGAGUCGCGCUGGAACGGGUAAACCCCGCGAGCGAGCAACCCAAACGAUGGUAGGGGCGCCACCUAGAGGGAAUUCAACCAAAAAGGUGGAUCAGCAAACAAAACAACAGCUGAUAGUUAAAUGACUACACCUGUUUGCGCCAGCUUAGCGAGCGACAUGAGCGCGCAGGAACAAAACCUGGCUUACAGCU